This 433-nucleotide ribosomal RNA is filed under the name uncultured bacterium. RNAcentral describes it as "partial 16S ribosomal RNA". It matches the Rfam family "Bacterial small subunit ribosomal RNA", at positions 29 to 507 of the family's 1533-position model. The record is from RNAcentral.
AACGAACGCUGGCGGCAUGCCUAACACAUGCAAGUCGAACGAUCCCUUCGGGGAUAGUGGCGCCCGGGUGCGUAACGCGUGGGAACCUGCCCUUAGGUUCGGCAUAACUCAGAGAAAUUUGAGCUAAUACCGGAUAAUGUCUUCGGACCAAAGAUUUAUCGCCGUUGGAUGGGCCCGCGUUGGAUUAGCUUGUUGGUGGGGUAAAGGCCUACCAAGGCGCGGAUCCAUAGCUGGUCUGAGAGGAUGAUCAGCCACACUGGGACUGAGACACGGCCCAGACUCCUACGGGAGGCAGCAGUGGGGAAUAUUGGACAAUGGGCGAAAGCCUGAUCCAGCAAUGCCGCGUGAGUGAUGAAGGCCUUAGGGUUGUAAAGCUCUUUUACCCGGGAUGAUAAUGACAGUACCGGGAGAAUAAGCCCCGGCUAACUCCGUG